GACGAACGCUGGCGGCGUGCCUAAUACAUGCAAGUCGAGCGGACGGAUGGGAGCUUGCUCCCAGACCGUCAGCGGCGGACGGGUGAGUAACACGUGGGCAACCUGCCUGUAAGACUGGGAUAACUCCGGGAAACCGGGGCUAAUACCGGAUAACUCUUUCCCUCACAUGAGGGAAAGCUGAAAGAUGGCAUCUCGCUAUCACUUACAGAUGGGCCCGCGGCGCAUUAGCUAGUUGGUGAGGUAACGGCUCACCAAGGCGACGAUGCGUAGCCGACCUGAGAGGGUGAUCGGCCACACUGGGACUGAGACACGGCCCAGACUCCUACGGGAGGCAGCAGUAGGGAAUCUUCCGCAAUGGACGAAAGUCUGACGGAGCAACGCCGCGUGAGUGAUGAAGGUUUUCGGAUCGUAAAACUCUGUUGUCAGGGAAGAACAAGUACCGGAGUAACUGCCGGUACCUUGACGGUACCUGAACAGAAAGCCACGGCUAACUACGUG
RNAcentral lists this ribosomal RNA (498 nucleotides) under uncultured bacterium. RNAcentral describes it as "partial 16S ribosomal RNA". It matches the Rfam family "Bacterial small subunit ribosomal RNA", at positions 28 to 507 of the family's 1533-position model. The record is from RNAcentral.